This 840-nucleotide long non-coding RNA is filed under the name Sander lucioperca (pikeperch). Its description in RNAcentral is "lncRNA (ENSSLUG00000017972.1)". Lineage: Eukaryota; Metazoa; Chordata; Actinopteri; Perciformes; Percidae. The record is from RNAcentral.
CACAAAUCCUUCCGGGUUGGAGGUUGGACUACUGGGCGUCGCACUGUGAUGACGCGUCGGACAGCGUCGGACAGCGUCGCGAGCACAGUGCAACUCUCUCCGCGAGUGGAACAGCUGUCGCUCGAGCCUGAUGUGCUGCUAUUUCCCGCUUCGGUUCCAGUGUGAGCGGGCUGUGGGGCAGCGGGACCAGAAGCAGGACCAGGACCAGAAGCCGCUGCUCUCCGGUAGUCCUACAGGGGCUCACACAGGGGGGUUCUCUGCUGUUUAACAAGCUUUCUGCGACAACACAGCCACGAAGAAGAAGAGUGACAGACCGCGGGAAAAUGAUGUCGUAACUUCCUGUGCAAUGAAGUCUUGGCGCGACAAUACAGUUGUAAACAAGAGGAGGACACACAACGACACACAACAACACGCAGACACGAACUCUGUAAGAAACUGAGCCACAGAGAUACUAGAAGAAUGGAGAACAUUGAUACCAACAAUGCUUCUGGUCUCUUGGUACCUGAUGUCAGUGAAGAUUCUGUGGAUAUCUAUGAAGGCCUGGAUAUCGGUUUUAGCAGCGAUGCAGGUAAAAAAAUUUUUUUAAUAUUUAAAAAGAUUAUUGUUUUCUCGUGGUAGGAAAAUAGUCCAGCACAGCAACAUUGAGACUUUAUAAUUGCAAAUUGUCUUAUUUUGGUUCAUUACAGAGAAGUCAUCUCCAAAAGCUUCUCAGCUUAAGGACUCUAUGGAUCUUUAUGAAGAACUUGUCACAGAGGAACAGCAGAGCAGAGAGUCAUCAUACUUGGAGGUGAGUUUCCAUGCACCCUUUCUCUCUGUUGACCUGUUGUUGUUGUUGUUAUU